UACGUAGGGUGCGAGCGUUAAUCGGAAUUACUGGGCGUAAAGCGUGCGCAGGCGGUUUUGUAAGCCAGAUGCGAAAUCCCCGGGCUUAACCUGGGAAUGGCAUUUGGGACUGCAAGGCUGGAGUGCGGCAGAGGAGACUGGAAUUCCUGGUGUAGCAGUGAAAUGCGCAGAUAUCAGGAGGAACACCGAUGGCGAAGGCAGGUCUCUGGGCCAUAACUGACGCUGAGAAGCGAAAGCAUGGGGAGCGAACAGG
RNAcentral lists this ribosomal RNA (253 nucleotides) under uncultured bacterium. RNAcentral's name for it is "partial 16S ribosomal RNA". It matches the Rfam family "Bacterial small subunit ribosomal RNA", at positions 524 to 776 of the family's 1533-position model. The record is from RNAcentral.